UAGAGCCUACGGGGGGCAGCAGUGAGGAAUAUUGGUCAAUGGGCGGAAGCCUGAACCAGCCAAGUCGCGUGAGGGAAUAAGGCCCUACGGGUCGUAAACCUCUUUUGCCGGGGAGCAAGGGCCGGGACGAGUCCCGGUCCGGAGAGUACCCGGAGAAAAAGCAUCGGCUAACUCCGUGCCAGCAGCCGCGGUAAUAAGGAGGAUGCGAGCGUUAUCCGGAUUUAUUGGGUU
RNAcentral lists this ribosomal RNA (231 nucleotides) under uncultured bacterium. Its description in RNAcentral is "partial 16S ribosomal RNA". It matches the Rfam family "Bacterial small subunit ribosomal RNA", at positions 332 to 560 of the family's 1533-position model. The record is from RNAcentral.